RNAcentral lists this ribosomal RNA (501 nucleotides) under uncultured bacterium. RNAcentral's name for it is "partial 16S ribosomal RNA". It matches the Rfam family "Bacterial small subunit ribosomal RNA", at positions 29 to 523 of the family's 1533-position model. The record is from RNAcentral.
AUUGAACGCUGGCGGCAUGCCUUACACAUGCAAGUCGAACGGCAGCACGGGUGCUUGCACCUGGUGGCGAGUGGCGAACGGGUGAGUAAUACAUCGGAACGUACCUUAUCGUGGGGGAUAACGCAGCGAAAGCUGUGCUAAUACCGCAUACGCCCUGAGGGGGAAAGCGGGGGAUCGAAAGACCUCGCGCGAUUAGAGCGGCCGAUGCCUGAUUAGCUUGUUGGUGGGGUAAAAGCCCACCAAGGCGACGAUCAGUAGCUGGUCUGAGAGGACGAUCAGCCACACUGGGACUGAGACACGGCCCAGACUCCUGCGGGAGGCAGCAGUGGGGAAUUUUGGACAAUGGGGGCAACCCUGAUCCAGCAAUGCCGCGUGAGUGAAGAAGGCCUUCGGGUUGUAAAGCUCUUUUGUCAGGGAAGAAACACCGGCUCUAACACAGUCCGGGAAUGACGGUACUUGAAGAAUAAGCACCGGCUAACUACGUGCCAGCCGCCGCGGUAA